ACGAACGCUGGCGGCGUGCUUAACACAUGCAAGUCGCACGGAAAGGCCCUGCUUUUGUGGGGUGCUCGAGUGGCGAACGGGUGAGUAACACGUGAGUAACCUGCCCUUGACUUUGGGAUAACUUCAGGAAACUGGGGCUAAUACCGGAUAGGAGCUCCUGCUGCAUGGUGGGGGUUGGAAAGUUUCGGCGGUUGGGGAUGGACUCGCGGCUUAUCAGCUUGUUGGUGGGGUAGUGGCUUACCAAGGCUUUGACGGGUAGCCGGCCUGAGAGGGUGACCGGCCACAUUGGGACUGAGAUACGGCCCAGACUCCUACGGGAGGCAGCAGUGGGGAAUAUUGCACAAUGGGCGGAAACCUGAUGCAGCAACGCCGCGUGCGGGAUGACGGCCUUCGGGUUGUAAACCGCUUUCGCCUGUGACGAAGCGUGAGUGACGGUAAUGGGUAAAGAAGCACCGGCUAACUACGUG
Molecule: ribosomal RNA, 467 nt
Filed under: uncultured bacterium
Lineage: Bacteria
Description: partial 16S ribosomal RNA
Rfam family: Bacterial small subunit ribosomal RNA
Source: RNAcentral